RNAcentral lists this non-coding RNA (24 nucleotides) under Arabidopsis thaliana (thale cress). The record is from RNAcentral. Lineage: Eukaryota; Viridiplantae; Streptophyta; Magnoliopsida; Brassicales; Brassicaceae.
CCGUUUUUCGACGGUGUCUUUGAU